Molecule: long non-coding RNA, 6601 nt
Organism: Mus musculus (house mouse)
Lineage: Eukaryota; Metazoa; Chordata; Mammalia; Rodentia; Muridae
Product: predicted gene, 52149
Exons: 2
Source: RefSeq, a predicted model, not a curated record
UUUUAAGGCACAGAAGUCAGAGAGAAAAUGAGAGAGCCAGAUGUUUGGAAGGGAUGCUGGGAAAUGCUUCAACGAAAGAUCUCUCCCACCCCAAACAAAAGCUUCCCCAAGGAUCUUUGGAGGCUUGCUGUCAUAUCUGACCGCAGCGCACCCACAGAACCCAAAAUCCCCCUGUGCCAAAGGAAGCGUUAAACCUCCACAGGGCUGCAGUAAGACUCAAGUUCCAAGGAUCGCUCACUGCCAGUGACGAUUAGAACAAUCUGAAAAUGUUCUUCAAAGAAAAAUGCACUCUUUUUUGUUGUAAGAGAGGUGUAAACGCCAGCCAAUCUCUUUUGGCACCCAGUACCGUACGAAGUGGUUUUGCCGUGCCACCUCUCAACAAAAAAAAAAAAGAAAAAAAGAAAAAAGAAAAAGAAAAACCACCCUCAAUGAACAUCCUCCAAGGACCAGCUUUGAAAGGGGGUUUUGCGUAUCAGGUUAACGCAUGCACUUGGCACAGCCCAACUUUCACACCAAGGCUCUGGGGUGCGGGGUGAUAAGAGCCAGGUUCUGUUUGUUAACAAUAAGGCAAUUAUUUCUUUGGUACUUCAUUGAGAGGAGGGGGGGGGAAUCUUACAACAAAGAUUCAAACAAGGAUUCCCUAGGGAGACAACGGAACUGGUAGGUUGGAAAAGUUUUUUGUUUUUUUGGUUUUUUUUUUUUUUCUUUAUUCUUUCUCAGGAGCAAACAUGGGAACCAUUGAAAGAAGAAGAACGAAAGCAAAGUUCGGGUGUUUGCUGUCUGCUCUCAGACACAGGCAUUUGACACCAUAAGGGAAGACAGACAGUAGAGACAGGAAAGCCCCACAGACGACGACGACAGUAAAUGGGAAAGGACGAAAAGUAUAGACGCGUAGGAAGAAAGGCAGGAGCAACAGAGAGAAGCAGGUGGAGCGAGGAAAGGCAGGAAGUACAGUCUGAAGCACUUCCUGUGUGUUUGGAAACUAACGCGGACCUUCCUGAGUAAACCCUAUAUCUGGGGGCAGGGAAAAGGGGGGGAGGGAGGUCCGGUUUUUUGUGUUUAUUUGUUUCUUGCUUUUUAACUCCUAACAGAAACUCAGCAUCUCCUUCCAUGUGCGAUGUGCUCGAGUCAUCACCGAGGUAUGUAUUCAGAGGUAAAGGAGCAGAAACACCAGAAACGGCUGGCAUCCUUUAACUUGAAGCUCUUCAGAAGAGAGGUAUGCAUGACUGUCAGCGGGGAGAAAUCCUUCCAAAGGCUUCCUGAAUGGGAUUUCGGCCUCUAGACCAAGAUCUCCUAAGUUUCCCUAGACCUCUCUAAUAGGCGACAAGUUUAGGCACCAAAUGCAAGGGGGACAUUCAGUAGUACUUCCCAAGGUCUUAGUAUGGCAGCCCCGCAGGAUAGUUUUGCUCAGCUGGUAAAACCCAAAAUAAACGGCAAGCAGUGACUUCCCAUAGAAGCAUGCCUCGGGAGCCCCACUUUCCGUCCCUGAGGAAGGAGGAGGAUUCUAGAGAGACUGAGAUCUUCCACAGGCAGACCGGUCCUCCGUCAAAGUGAGUGGUCACCAGCUCAUUGGCCUCAGAAUGACUUCAGAGAACCUCCAUGCAAUGAAACUGCAAUUCCUGUUGUUGGAACAGGCUAGUACCCUUGAUGUGAUGGGUCAUCGCCCUGUGGCCUCUGGGGUAACCUGCUGGUUCCAGUCACCAUUGAGAACAGCUAAACCUACUCUGGGAUAGCCUUGCCAGGGCCACCACGUUCCAAUUACACCUAGAUCGAUGCCAACUUCCCAUUGCUUCUUUCUGCGGUAUUCUUCAAGCACCCUGGCUUGCUAAAUCACCCAAGCUGCGUGUCAUGUUAUAGCUAUAUGAGGUAAGCUAGCCUGUGCCUCAACAUGGGGUUUUCCUUUCCAAGCUAGUUUAAGUCUGACAUCUUUAGAAUGGAUGUCACACUUAAGAAUAACUUCUUUACUGGGAAUUGUCAAGAAAUGGGGAGGCAACCGUUUCAAAGGUGGCAUCAGUUUUGAAAACCUCGGAGCCUGCCCCCGGCCCGCCACCCCCCCCCCCGGCCCCCGUUGGUAGGCAGGUAGCAGCCAUUGGAGUGAACGUUUGAGUAAGGCACAGGGGUCUCGGGAAAGUCAUGAGGGAAGACUUACCCCAAUGGAAACCCUACGAGGCUUUCUUCAUUGUCUAGUUCGUUUACUGCCAGUCUCACUGAUGGGAAUUAGACAGUUGCUUUAAGACCAAAAAAAAAAAAAAAAACUCCAAAGCCACCAUAAAAAUAGAAAAUGAUUGCUUCCUGUCAUGACCAAAUAUUAAACACAGUGCACACCUAAUGACUCUAUCCCUCCCCGGGGACAAAGCUUUAUGAACAAUAAAGUCCCCACGGGCCUUCACUGUUUAGGUUGAGGGGUCUCAUUAUGGGCUCCCUGAUCCAAUACCACUCACAAGCCCACUGGACACCACUGGAGGAGAAAGCCAGCACCCUGGAGUUACCAUCAGAACUCCUCCCCUGAAGGCAGAGCUUCAUUCCUCCAAGAGGGAACGGAAGGAAGAAAAGAGAGAUGUAAGGGAAAGGUGUCGGGGUGCAGGUAGCCAAUGGAUUAGGCGGGAACUCUACCCACUUGGCUGCAUUUUCAACUCUUUGAUUCUGAGACGGUUUCACUGAGCUCAGGCUGGCCUCAAAUUUGCCAUGUAGCAGCGCAUGACCUUGAAACUCCUGAUCUUGCCUCCGACUCCCCAGUGCUCAGAACGAGAGCCUUGCCACCUGGUAGGGUUUAUGCAAUGGAUGCUAGGGAUGGACCACAUCCAGGGCUCAGUGAGCGUUCUAGCAAAGGAAUCACAUCACCAACCCCUAGCCAAAACAUUACUGACUGUCAGAGUGGGACUUAAGGCUACAUCUGUCACAAGAGAGGUGCAGCAGUUGGAGAAACAGCAAGGGAAAUCCUAAAACAGGAGGCAGGAGGCAAGAGGCAGGAGGACAGGGACACAGGAGGAAAAGAAGAAACAAGAAAGACAGGGAAGAGGAGGGUACUACAAGGAAGUGGAAGAUUUUGGGGUGUUUUAAUUUUGUUUUUUAAUCUACCAUCUAUACCUUCUUCUGCAUAGGUUGAAGCUACACGACAACCAACACUCAUAGCCAGGUUUUUUUUCAAGUUCACUGCGUUAUCUGGACAUGGGUCUAAAGGGCAGCCCCUCCUCCUCCUCCUGUGAGUUAGCAUCUGGAUGCUCAGAUGUGUCCAACACUCCGAGCUGACUUAGAUGACCCGCAAGUGGACCCAGCAUUAAACAGAAGUCAAGUCUGGCUCUCGUUCAAACGUCAGCCUGGACAGAGCAGAGAGCAUGGAGCUUCCUUACCUCUUAGUCCCUGCCGUUUAUCACCGCCGCCUAAACGGUCCCACAUGUGGGAAGCACUGUGGAAGGAGACCCGGGGAAUGUGGAACAAAGGCUUUUAGAGAAGUCAGAAUGUGACUCGCCAAGUAGACAGGGGACUAAACAAAAGCAAUCCAGGAGAGGUGACAAGUCCAUAAAACAGGGUCUAGACAGCAUGAGACCAAGGCACCAAGAAACGACAAAAAAGAAGGGAAGAGACUGAAUGUGGGGGCUGGGAAGGAGUGAAUUUCUGUCCAGAACAAGAAACUGAGGAAGGGAGCUAAGGGUGACUUCUAAGCUUAAAUCCUGAUGCCUAUACUCUUUUAAAUAAUGCUUAAGAAUGAAUCGAAUGAAUCAACUUCUAUAAAACACAAGGUGAAGGAGUUAAGCCAUACAGAGAGAGAAAACACACAUAGAGAGAAAAGAUUUUUAAAGGCUCUGGGACCAGUCAGGGUCAUGUGUCAUCCUGCCUUCCCCACAAGCCUAGGAAAUCACACAUUACUUUCCUAUUCUUCAGAUAACAUGGAUUCCAUUAGAGUUACUGUAUAAAGUACAUGAUUCAUGGUUAUUUAUUGAAUUUCAAAUAAAUAAUAAAUAAAAUUUUUUCAGGUAACUUUAUUCCAAGGAUGUUGCAUGAGACAGACUUUACAGAAGAAGAAAAAAAGACUUCAUUGUUUCUCUGAAACUUAAGUUUAACUGAGAAAUACUUAUAUUUUUAAAAUAAUCCUGCUCAUAGAAUAUACAAAUCUAUCUGGGUAUCUUAUAGUUUUAUUUGCAAGUCCAUCUUCUAUGAGAAGGAAGAAAUGAAUGAAUGAAUGAAUGAAUGAAUGGCAGAGGAGGCUUCAAACUAAUUCUAGUUCCAGAUUUUACUGUGAUCAUUAUCAUACUAUAAGACUAAUGUUCACUUUAAGCCCUCAGACCACAUGUUCUAAGUCUGUAUUGAAUGUAUACUUAGUUAUUCUGAAAUAAGAAAAUGCUUUUUGCAUAGGAUAAAAGAAAUAUUCUUGACCAUGGAAGAAAUUGGCUACACAGAACAUUCUUCAUUAUCCUGGCUCUGCCCCAUGGUACAUGCUUAGAAGGUGGUGCAUGCCCCAGCCCUUCAGACCAGUUAAAAGCUUUACAAUUCAGUAUUGUAAUGUGAUACUCAAAAAGCCCACAGUUUCUCCUGUCCCUUGCCCAGGUCACCUCAGUGUUUGACCUGGGAGCUAGAGAGAAACCCAGAUGAGUCUUUGACCUGCCACCUGGCUUAUGAAACCAUUCAUCUAUAGAUGGGUUUUAUCCCUUGAAAUAUGGGGUGACAGUACCAGUAUGUAGUUAAAAAAUAAGUCGGGGACACCUUUGAGUGAACUGGAAAAAUACCUUCUGCACUCAUGCAGAUAAAACUUCCCAUAGAGACCCACUUCAGGGCUUUCCUGGAGGGACCAGGCACGAGAGCAUUUGCACCUACCAUGGUUGCAACCUCCCCUCAACACUGUCUUGUGAUCUGUCCUUUGAAAAAGCCCUGGCAUCAUAUGGGGCUCAUAGCAUACAGCUGUCAUCCCUGAAGUAUCAGCCUACACCCAGGGGUCCCCUUCCUGCAAAUGUCUCCAUCCCUGCCAUUGUAUCCAUGGAUGAAAAAUUUCUUCCUUAUGCCCGUCUCACAAGGUUUUGUAAUAAGGGAGAAACUGCUGUGUUGCACCCCAGGCCCGACUCUGUCUUCCUGGUAAUCUUUGUGGAGAAGAAAAAAAGUAAGUCUACGAUAGUCAUUUUAAGUCAAGAACAAAACCUUCCAGGAGGACAGUCGUUCAACUGAUGCAAAUACCUUAUCUUCGCAGAUUAUAUUGCUGCAAUAAAAAUCAUGACCACAAGCAACUUGGGAAGGAAAAGUGCUUAUUUCUUCUUAGAACUCUCAAGGCACACUGCAUCCCUGGGGAAAGUCGGGGCAAGAACUCAAGGCAGGAACUGCAAUGGAAGCAGUGGAGGAACCACUUAUUGGCUUGUUCUGUUUAUGUCCUUAUAUACCCCACAACCACUGGACACAGAUGGCACUGCGCGCGCACAGUAGGCUGAGCCUUCCCACAUCCAUCAAGGAAAUGCCGCAGAGGCUUGCCAAUCUUUCAGAGGCAUUUUUUUUUAAGCUGAGGUUCCCUCAUUUCAAAUGACUCUAGUCUGUGACAAGCUGACAAAACAAACAACAACAACAACAACAAAAACACUAACAAGUGCACACCGCAUACACUUGGGCUUAGAUGGGCCAUCGGACACCAAGCUCCCAUCUCCUAACUUCCUUUCUGAGAAAUGAGCCUCCAUUUUUUAUCUCCAGAUCAAUGUGGAAACAAACCCUCAAAGAAUAAUUCCUACAAGACUUUGAUCAACAUCCACAGAGUCCUUCAAGUCCUAGUGGGCAGGUCCCCAAGUCUCCAAGUCACGUAGACAAUAUUUUCUCAUCUCCUUGGCAUGUAUGUCUCAUCUCCCAACCAUGUGACCUGUUAGUUUCUUGGCUGAGUCAAAAAUAUACCCCAAAGAACUUACUCAGGCCCUUUUACCCAAAUAUAAAAAUUAAAGGCAGACUGGAGAGAUGGCACAGCAUUCAGCAUUGGGAGUGUUUGCUGCUCUUUCAGAAGACCCCAAUCUGAUUCCUAGUAUCCGUCUUGGGAAGCUGACAAUGGCUUGCAACUCCAGCUCUGUGGAACCCAGCACCCUCUUCUGGUACCCAAGCAUCUGCACACAUGUGGCAGAUACCCACACAAGCACAGAUAUAUAAAUACAAAGAAAAGAAAUAAAAUACCCACACAAGCACAGAUAUAUAAAUACAAAGAAAAGAAAUAAAAUACCCACACAAGCACAGAUAUAUAAAUACAAAGAAAAGAAAUAAAAAUAGAACAUAAAUAAAAAGAAAGUCACACACACACACACACAUCAGAAGUUCUAAAAGGUACCCUGUGUGUGUAAGUCUUACCAUACUAUUUGGGGGUGAGGGGGUGAGGUUGAGCCUGAGGCCUUAGCCAGGCUAAGUGAGCUCUCCACUACUGGCUUAUAUCCCAGCCAUCUUAAUCAUAAUCUUUCCCCAGCUCCACAACUCUGUUGGUCCAGUGUUAGCCAGGUAGAUGAGUUUAGGAAGAGACACAUUUUCUAGAAACAAUUAUCAAUUUUUUUUUUUUUUUUGUCACAGAGCUCAGUUUCAAAGCUUUGUUCUCUUACUCAUCCUGACUCGUCCAUUUCUUGGCAAAUCUGUUAUUUGAUCCUAUUAGAAUUUU